CAAAUGCCUGAAUAUUCUGUGAAUGGGAUAAUGAAAUAAGACCUCUGUUCUGCUUUCAUUGGUUUUCAGAUCAAGAGGUAAUGAUUAAUAGAAGCAGUUUGGGCGCAUUACUAUUACGACGCGAGACGUGAAAUUCUUGGACCGUACCUGUUGGGUUGUCCCAUUAUAAGGACACUAGCUUCUUAAAAGGACAAAUUGCGUCUAGCAAUAAUGAGAUUGAGCAAUAUCAGAGGUGUGCAUGUCCUGGGCUGCACGAACGCUACAAUGAAAGUAUCAACGUGUAUUUCCUAGACCGAGAGGUCCGGGUAAGCCGCUGAACCACUUUCAUGCUUGGGAUUGUGAACUGAAACUGUUCACAUGAACUUUGAAUUCCCAGUGAGUGUGAGUCAUUAACUCGCAUUGAUUACGUCCCUGCCCUUUGUACACACCGCCCGUCGCUACUACCGAUUGAAUUAUUUAGUGAGGUCUCCGGACGUGAUCACUGUGACGCCUUGCGUGUUAUGGUUGUUUCGCAAAAGUUGACCGAACUUGAUUAUUUAGAGGAAGUAAAAGUUGUAACAAGGUUUCCGUAGGUGAACCUGCGGAAGGAUCAUUA
RNAcentral lists this non-coding RNA (595 nucleotides) under Drosophila sechellia. RNAcentral describes it as "Eukaryotic small subunit ribosomal RNA". It matches the Rfam family "Eukaryotic small subunit ribosomal RNA", at positions 1363 to 1831 of the family's 1831-position model. Lineage: Eukaryota; Metazoa; Arthropoda; Insecta; Diptera; Drosophilidae. The record is from Rfam by way of RNAcentral.